AUUGAACGCUGGCGGCAUGCCUUACACAUGCAAGUCGAGCGGCAGCGCGGGGGCAACCCUGGCGGCGAGCGGCGAACGGGUGAGUAAUACAUCGGAACGUGUCCAGUUGUGGGGGAUAACCAGUCGAAAGACUGGCUAAUACCGCAUACGAUCUACGGAUGAAAGCGGGGGAUCGCAAGACCUCGCGCUAUUGGAGCGGCCGAUGUCCGAUUAGCAGUUGGCGGGGUAAAAGGCCACCAAGGCGACGAUCGGUAGCUGGUCUGAGAGGACGACCAGCCACACUGGGACUGAGACACGGCCCAGACUCCUACCGGGAGGCAGCAGUGGGGAAUAUUGGACAAUGGGCGAAAGCCUGAUCCAGCGAUGCCGCGUGUGUGAAGAAGGCC
Molecule: ribosomal RNA, 386 nt
Filed under: uncultured bacterium
Lineage: Bacteria
Description: bacterial SSU rRNA
Rfam family: Bacterial small subunit ribosomal RNA
Source: RNAcentral